Molecule: long non-coding RNA, 356 nt
Organism: Sorex fumeus (smoky shrew)
Lineage: Eukaryota; Metazoa; Chordata; Mammalia; Eulipotyphla; Soricidae
Exons: 4
Source: RefSeq, a predicted model, not a curated record
ACCAGAGUCUCUGUGCAUUCUCCCGCGACUACAGGCUCACUGGUUCUGGAGUGUUUAGAAAAGAGGCAGCCGUUCCCUUGUCACGGGAGCCCCGGUCCUUUGGGUCCCCUGAAGGAAUCUUUCUUCUCCUGCCUUGACUCAGAAGGCGCCGGCGUUUCCUGAGCAGCAGUGAGGAAGGUCGUGCUGUCAUCGUCCAGAGGAUGCCACAGCAGCCCUGGAACACACGUGUUUGGUGGGACCCAGCCCUGGCACCGAGUCUGUGCUGCUGUGAGGUCUGUGUGCCAGAGUCUCCCUGCUUUCUCCCCCAACUGCAGACUCACCUCAUGCCGGAGUGUUUAGAAAAGAGGCAGCUGUUU